GAAUGACCGGAUGUUGUUUACGACCCAGCAGGUGAAUAGCUCAUAUUUAGUGAGCGCUAACACGCAACAAUUAACAAGGGUCUGGUGUGCAAGUGAUUCAUAAAUGGACUUGUUUUCAUCGAAAAUUGCAUCACUGACUUUUCGGAGCGACGUACACAGCUUUGGAGAUCUGCAGCCUGGCUUAUGAGAGGAUGUGCACUCUGAGUGACAGCAACCCCCCCACCCCCUGC
This is a long non-coding RNA of Entelurus aequoreus (snake pipefish), 230 nucleotides long. RefSeq lists it as uncharacterized. NCBI's taxonomy places the organism in Eukaryota, Metazoa, Chordata, Actinopteri, Syngnathiformes, Syngnathidae. The record is from RefSeq and is a predicted model, not a curated record. The transcript has 4 exons.